Molecule: ribosomal RNA, 447 nt
Filed under: uncultured bacterium
Lineage: Bacteria
Description: bacterial SSU rRNA
Rfam family: Bacterial small subunit ribosomal RNA
Source: RNAcentral
AUUGAACGCUGGCGGCAUGCCUAACACAUGCAAGUCGAACGGAUUAUUGGAGCUUGCUCUAAUGGUUAGUGGCGGACGGGUGAGUAACGCGUGGGAACCUGCCCUGGAGUGGGGAACAACCUUUGGAAACGAAGGCUAAUACCGCAUACGCUCUACGGAGGAAAGGCUUCGGCCGCUCCAGGAUGGUCCCGCGUCUGAUUAGCUUGUUGGUGGGGUAACGGCCUACCAAGGCGACGAUCAGUAGCUGGUCUGAGAGGAUGAUCAGCCACACUGGGACUGAGACACGGCCCAGACUCCUACGGGAGGCAGCAGUGGGGAAUAUUGGACAAUGGGGGAAACCCUGAUCCAGCAAUGCCGCGUGAGUGAAGAAGGCCUUAGGGUUGUAAAACUCUUUCACUGAUGAAGAUGAUGACGGUAAUCAGAGAAGAAGCCCCGGCUAACUCCGUG